GACGAACGCUGGCGGCGUGCUUAACACAUGCAAGUCGAACGGAAAGGCCCUGCUUUUGUGGGGUGCUCGAGUGGCGAACGGGUGAGUAACACGUGGGUAACCUGCCCUUGACUUUGGGAUAACUCCAGGAAACUGGGGCUAAUACCGGAUAGGACCUCCUGUUGCAUGGUGGGGGUUGGAAAGUUUCGGCGGUUGGGGAUGGACUCGCGGCUUAUCAGCUUGUUGGUGGGGUAGUGGCUUACCAAGGCUUUGACGGGUAGCCGGCCUGAGAGGGUGACCGGCCACAUUGGGACUGAGAUACGGCCCAGACUCCUACGGGAGGCAGCAGUGGGGAAUAGUGCACAAUGGGCGGAAGCCUGAUGCAGCAACGCCGCGUGCGGGAUGACGGCCUGCGGGUUGUAAACCGCUUUCGCCUGUGACGAAGCGUGAGUGACGGUAAUGGGUAAAGAAGCACCGGCUAACUACGUG
Molecule: ribosomal RNA, 468 nt
Filed under: uncultured bacterium
Lineage: Bacteria
Description: partial 16S ribosomal RNA
Rfam family: Bacterial small subunit ribosomal RNA
Source: RNAcentral